AGCCCGGCUAGUCUCAGUGAGACCUUCCGCCGGCGGCCAUGGCGGAGACGGCGGAGGCUGCUCCACCCCCUGCCGGCGAUUGCCAACCUCCGGUGCCGUUGGCGACAGAGGCUAUCUAACUUAGUCGGCGCUCCCCUCGGCGAUGAUCCGCCCCUCCAAACCCGCCUGCCGCUAUUACUGGAGUGCUGGUUGGUCUUGUGGAUGCUAGAAGAAAUUGCUCUGAGCCUAUGGUUUAGAUCGAGGCAUGACAGUGUCACCUUUGCUUGACCCAGCCGCACAAGCUUCUAGCUUCGCCUGCUGCUGGAAGUUGUUCAGGGAUUCCUCUUCCGACGUGUGUGACAUUGCUUGGAAGUCCAGAUACUGGUUGCAGAGGGUGCCAGCAAGGUGAAGGGGGAUGGUGAUUUAUGCACAACGGAACGAAGAGGCUGCAAUUAGACAAUAGGAAAAUGAUUGAUUAAACUUUCAGUCAGCAUCAAGGACUGCAAUGCUGCCGCUAUUAUUUAACCGAUGGAAUGCGAAUCUAAUUGCCUCAUCAGCACGAAUGUUCCAUUUAUUGUUUCUAAAGAAUUUGUCAGUAUCCUGAA
This is a long non-coding RNA of Panicum hallii, 584 nucleotides long. RefSeq lists it as uncharacterized. The transcript is spliced from 3 exons. NCBI's taxonomy places the organism in Eukaryota, Viridiplantae, Streptophyta, Magnoliopsida, Poales, Poaceae. The record is from RefSeq and is a predicted model, not a curated record.